RNAcentral lists this ribosomal RNA (496 nucleotides) under uncultured bacterium. RNAcentral's name for it is "partial 16S ribosomal RNA". It matches the Rfam family "Bacterial small subunit ribosomal RNA", at positions 28 to 507 of the family's 1533-position model. The record is from RNAcentral.
GAUGAACGCUGGCGGCGUGCCUAAUACAUGCAAGUCGAGCGAACGGACGAGAAGCUUGCUUCUCUGAUGUUGGCGGCGGACGGGUGAGUAACACGUGGAUAACCUACCUAUAAGACUGGGAUAACUUCGGGAAACCGGAGCUAAUACCGGAUAAUAUUUUGAACCGCAUGGUUCAAAAGUGAAAGACGGUCUUGCUGUCACUUAUAGAUGGAUCCGCGCUGCAUUAGCUAGUUGGUAAGGUAACGGCUUACCAAGGCAACGAUGCAUAGCCGACCUGAGAGGGGAUCCGGCAAAACGGGACAUGAGCCCCGGCCAAGCCCCUAACGGGGGGCAGAGGUGGGGAACCUUCCGCAAUGGGCGAAGCCUUACGGAGCAACGGCGCCGGGAUGAAUGAAGGUUUCGGAUCGGAAAAACCUGUUAUUUAGGAAAGACAAAUUGGGAAGGUAAUUGGGCCAAUUUUGAGGGUCCCAAUCAAGAAAGCAAGGCCUACUACGUG